This 904-nucleotide ribosomal RNA is filed under the name uncultured Porphyromonas sp. RNAcentral's name for it is "bacterial SSU rRNA". It matches the Rfam family "Bacterial small subunit ribosomal RNA", at positions 61 to 957 of the family's 1533-position model. Lineage: Bacteria; Pseudomonadati; Bacteroidota; Bacteroidia; Bacteroidales; Porphyromonadaceae. The record is from RNAcentral.
GUCGAGGGGCAGCAUGGUCUUAGCUUGCUAAGACUGAUGGCGACCGGCGCACGGAUGCGUAACGCGUAUGCAACUUGCCUCACAGAGGGGGAUAACCCGUCGAAAGACGGACUAAUACCGCGUACACUUAUUGGAGGGCAUCCUUUGAUAAGGAAAUGAAUUUCGCUGUGAGAUAGGCAUGCGUCCCAUUAGCUAGUUGGUGAGGUAACGGCUCACCAAGGCGACGAUGGGUAGGGGAACUGAGAGGUUGAACCCCCACACUGGUACUGAGACACGGACCAGACUCCUACGGGAGGCAGCAGUGAGGAAUAUUGGUCAAUGGGCGAGAGCCUGAACCAGCCAAGUCGCGUGAAGGAUGACUGUCUUAUGGAUUGUAAACUUCUUUUAUACGGGAAUAACAAGGGUCACGUGUGGCCCCCUGCAUGUACCGUAUGAAUAAGCAUCGGCUAACUCCGUGCCAGCAGCCGCGGUAAUACGGAGGAUGCGAGCGUUAUCCGGAUUUAUUGGGUUUAAAGGGUGCGUAGGCGGCCUGUUAAGUCAGCGGUGAAAUCUAGGAGCUUAACUCCUAAAUUGCCAUUGAAACUGGCGGGCUUGAGUGUAGAUGAGGUAGGCGGUAUGCGUGGUGUAGCGGUGGAAUGCAUAGAUAUCACGCAGAACUCCGAUUGCGAAGGCAGCUUACUAGGGUACAACUGACGCUGAAGCACGAAAGCGUGGGUAUCAAACAGGAUUAGAUACCCUGGUAGUCCACGCAGUAAACGAUGAUAACUGGGCGUAUGCGAUAUACAGUAUGCUCCUAAGCGAAAGCGUUAAGUUAUCCACCUGGGGAGUACGCCGGCAACGGUGAAACUCAAAGGAAUUGACGGGGGCCCGCACAAGCGGAGGAACAUGUGGUUUAAUUCGAUGA